UAAUACGUAGGUGGCAAGCGUUGUCCGGAAUUAUUGGGCGUAAAGCGCGCGCAGGCGGUCCUUUAAGUCUGAUGUGAAAGCCCACGGCUCAACCGUGGAGGGUCAUUGGAAACUGGGGGACUUGAGUACAGAAGAGGAAAGCGGAAUUCCACGUGUAGCGGUGAAAUGCGUAGAGAUGUGGAGGAACACCAGUGGCGAAGGCGGCUUUCUGGUCUGUAACUGACGCUGAGGCGCGAAAGCGUGGGGAGCAAACAGGAUUAGAUACCCUGGUAGUCCACGCCGUAAACGAUGAGUGCUAAGUGUUAGAGGGUUUCCGCCCUUUAGUGCUGCAGCUAACGCAUUAAGCACUCCGCCUGGGGAGUACGGCCGCAAGGCUG
This 377-nucleotide ribosomal RNA is filed under the name uncultured bacterium. RNAcentral's name for it is "bacterial SSU rRNA". It matches the Rfam family "Bacterial small subunit ribosomal RNA", at positions 521 to 896 of the family's 1533-position model. The record is from RNAcentral.